UUCUUCGGACAAUAUACAAGGUGCUGCAUGGUUGUCGUCAGCUCGUGCCGUGAGGUGUCGGGUUAAGUCCCAUAACGAGCGCAACCCUUGUCCUUAGUUACCAGCACGUUAUGGUGGGCACUCUAAGGAGACUGCCGGUGACAAACCGGAGGAAGGUGGGGAUGACGUCAAGUCAUCAUGGCCCUUACGGCCUGGGCUACACACGUGCUACAAUGGUCGGUACAAAGGGUUGCCAAGCCGCGAGGUGGAGCUAAUCCCAUAAAACCGAUCGUAGUCCGGAUCGCAGUCUGCAACUCGACUGCGUGAAGUCGGAAUCGCUAGUAAUCGUGAAUCAGAAUGUCACGGUGAAUACGUUCCCGGGCCUU
RNAcentral lists this ribosomal RNA (365 nucleotides) under uncultured Pseudomonas sp. RNAcentral describes it as "bacterial SSU rRNA". It matches the Rfam family "Bacterial small subunit ribosomal RNA", at positions 1014 to 1382 of the family's 1533-position model. The record is from RNAcentral. Lineage: Bacteria; Pseudomonadati; Pseudomonadota; Gammaproteobacteria; Pseudomonadales; Pseudomonadaceae.